AGAACGAACGCUGGCGGCAUGCCUAACACAUGCAAGUCGAACGAGACCUUCGGGUCUAGUGGCGCACGGGUGCGUAACGCGUGGGAAUCUGCCCUUGGGUUCGGGAUAACAGUUGGAAACGACUGCUAAUACCGAAUGAUAUCUUCGGAUCAAAGAUUUAUCGCCCAGGGAUGAGCCCGCGUAGGAUUAGCUUGUUGGUGAGGUAAGAGCUCACCGAAGGCGACGAUCCUUAGCUGGUCUGAGAGGAUGAUCAGCCACACGUGGGACUG
This 269-nucleotide ribosomal RNA is filed under the name uncultured soil bacterium. Its description in RNAcentral is "partial 16S ribosomal RNA". It matches the Rfam family "Bacterial small subunit ribosomal RNA", at positions 26 to 321 of the family's 1533-position model. The record is from RNAcentral.